RNAcentral lists this ribosomal RNA (399 nucleotides) under Boophis quasiboehmei. RNAcentral's name for it is "partial 16S ribosomal RNA". It matches the Rfam family "Bacterial large subunit ribosomal RNA", at positions 2039 to 2597 of the family's 2925-position model. Lineage: Eukaryota; Metazoa; Chordata; Amphibia; Anura; Mantellidae. The record is from RNAcentral.
AAACUGAUCUCCCCGUGAAGAAGCGGGGAUAUACAUAUAAGACGAGAAGACCCCAUGGAGCUUUAAACCUGACAGCACCCGCUCAUUCUAUACCCCAUUAUUUGCCCGACCCCUGUCUGCUCAGUUUUAGGUUGGGGUGACCACGGAGUAUAAAAUAACCUCCAUGAAGAAGGGGAUAUUUCCCUUAUUAGAGAACCACACUUCCAAGAACUAAUAAAUUAAUUUUCAAUGACCCGAUACCAGAUAAUCGAUCAACGAACCAAGUUACCCUGGGGAUAACAGCGCAAUCCACCCUGAAAGCCCUUAUUAACAGGUGGGUUUACGACCUCGAUGUUGGAUCAGGGUAUCCCAGUGGUGCAGCAGCUACUGAGGGUUCGUUUGUUCAACGAUUAAAACCCU